This 108-nucleotide ribosomal RNA is filed under the name uncultured bacterium. RNAcentral describes it as "partial 16S ribosomal RNA". It matches the Rfam family "Bacterial small subunit ribosomal RNA", at positions 548 to 655 of the family's 1533-position model. The record is from RNAcentral.
GAAUUACUGGGCUUAAAGAGUUCGUAGGUGGUUGAAAAAGUUGGUGGUGAAAUCCCAGACCUUAACUCUGGAACUGCCAUCAAAACUUUUCAGCUAGAGUGUGAUAGA